UACGUAGGGGGCGAGCGUUGUCCGAAUUCACUGGGCGUAAAGCGCGCGUAGGCGGGCUAUUAAGUUGGGGGUGAAAUUCCGAGGCUUAACCUCGGAACUGCCUUCAAAACUGGUAGCCUUGAGGUAUGGAGAGGGAAGUGGAAUUCCAGGUGUAGCGGUGAAAUGCGUAGAUAUCUGGAGGAACACCCGUGGCGAAGGCGGCUUCCUGGCCAUAUCCUGACGCUGAGGUGCGAAAGCUAGGGGAGCGAACGGG
RNAcentral lists this ribosomal RNA (253 nucleotides) under uncultured bacterium. Its description in RNAcentral is "partial 16S ribosomal RNA". It matches the Rfam family "Bacterial small subunit ribosomal RNA", at positions 524 to 776 of the family's 1533-position model. The record is from RNAcentral.